GAUGAACGCUGGCGGCGUGCCUAAUACAUGCAAGUCGAGCGAACAGACGAGGAGCUUGCUCCUCUGACGUUAGCGGCGGACGGGUGAGUAACACGUGGAUAACCUACCUAUAAGACUGGGAUAACUUCGGGAAACCGGAGCUAAUACCGGAUCAUAUAUUGAACCGCAUGGUUCAAUAGUGAAAGACGGUUUUGCUGUCACUUCUAGAUGGAUCCGCGCCGCAUUAGCUAGUUGGUAAGGUAACGGCUUACCAAGGCGACGAUGCGUAGCCGACCUGAGAGGGUGGUCGGCCACACUGGAACUGAGACACGGUCCAGACUCCUACGGGAGGCAGCAGUAGGGAAUCGGCCGCAAUGGGCGAAAGCCUGACGGAGCAACGCCGCGGGAGUGAUGAAGGUCUUCGGAUCGUAAAACUCUGUUAGUAGGGAAGAACAAAUGUGUAAGUAAAUAUGCACGUCGUGACGGUACCUGAACAGAAAGCCACGGCUAACUACGUG
This 497-nucleotide ribosomal RNA is filed under the name uncultured bacterium. RNAcentral describes it as "partial 16S ribosomal RNA". It matches the Rfam family "Bacterial small subunit ribosomal RNA", at positions 28 to 507 of the family's 1533-position model. The record is from RNAcentral.